Molecule: long non-coding RNA, 1740 nt
Filed under: Arabidopsis thaliana (thale cress)
Lineage: Eukaryota; Viridiplantae; Streptophyta; Magnoliopsida; Brassicales; Brassicaceae
Description: long non-coding RNA (ATHA_LNC000704)
Source: RNAcentral
AUAAACUCAACCAUUUUUCUUUAUCAAAAAAAACAAAAAGGAGUCUGCUUACCACAAGAAAGGAUCGAUGGUUCGAAAACUUGACGUCAACAAUCCUGCAAGAGAAUUUUUCUGAUGAAGUAAACCACCAUAAUUUAUUGGAAGAAGUCUGAUUUGUGUUGGCCGACUCAAGAAAUGCUCUCUAUCUAUAGUAAGCUCCAUGAGCGUAUAAUGAAUGAACUCCCACUCUUCCACUUGCCUCUGAGUUUUACAAUUCAUUUUCAUACGCUUCAUUAGUCUCUAAUUGUUUUAGGCCCAUCAGCAAAAAUAUAUACAAACAAGCCUGCAACUUCUUCUUUUUCUUGGCAACUAUAAGCCGGAUCAUUUAUGGGAUUAGCAUAUUAAAGUCUGUGCUUUUGUAGAUAUAGGAACAUCUCAUGUUUCUUACAAAUUUAGGUACUUUUAUAUUAUAUGGAUGACUGUUUUAUCCUUCAAUCUAAUUGAGUUUCUUCUCCUUGUACCUUCAAUCUAAUUGAGGAGAAUUCAUCAAUAUCAAUCGAUCUCAGAAAUGUGCGAUUAUUUCUCUCUCUUUCUCUUUCUCUAAUGGCAUGGAAUCUAUUGCCUCUAAACUCACCAUUGAUGUCCAUUGCUUCUCCAUCACCUUACAAAAUUCAGAUCUAUGCUUGGCCAAUCUUCUUCCUCGACGAUGCAGGUGGUAAUCUUCCAUAGCUUUUUUGAAUUUGAAUUGUUUGAUCUGAAUUAAUUUCAUCCUCUCUUGCUUCAAUUUCAAAGAGGGAUAAGAAACAAUUGAAAAUUUUAAUCGACUCCAAUUAUUUAAGAUUAGUAUAUUUGGGUUCCCUAUAUAAUAUCUUCUUAGGGUUUAGCUUUCUUCCAUCAAAAAGCUUUUAACUGAUUUUAUUGGGGUUUAUCUGAAUUGUAUGGUGAUGAAACGUUGUUAACAGAUUUUCUAAUUUUUGUCUCUAUCGAUUUUGUUUCCGUAAAUACAUCUUUUGUGUAUAUAUUGUCUUGUACAAAGAAACAUUGAUUAAGUAGAGAAAUAGGAUAAUCAAUCUCUGUACUUAAUACAUCAUCCAUUGAAGCAGGUUAGGAAUCGAUCCAAUAUGAGGCUCUGCAAAAACAAUUCAGAGAAGAUUCUGCAAAAACAAUUUAGGAGAAGAAGGAGUGAAAUCGCAGGGGCAAUUUGGUCAAUUCAUUUCCCAAAAACUGCCUAUCUUCAUAAGCCCAAUCAUAAUGUGCUCUUUCUCUAAUUUAUGGCCCAAAAUGUACCCAAUAUUAUAAAAGCCCCAGUAUAAGCCCCCAAUUUCUGAAAGUUUUUAAAUUUGCUUUUAUUUCCUAAAACUUGUCUAUAAAAAAAAUUUCCUGUAAAACUUUUUUAGUUUGGGACCCUAAAUUUUAAAACCGGCCCUAUACAAAACCUUGAGAUAUCUAUCUCGUUGGAUUAUACUGUAUCUUUAAGAAUGUUGAGUGACAUUUCAUGUUCAUACAUACGUUUGAAGGUUUUCAUCGAAGUGGCUCUCACUUAGGAUCGAAACCUUGUUUACCCUCAGGCCUCAGUAUUAUGUUGCAUAUAAAUCUUUUUAUAACGAACUAAUACGCAUAUUGAAAGUUUGUAAGGAAAAUAUUUUGUAGUAAAAUCUAGACCUUGUUAUAUUGGUUCAGUGACAUAGUGAAUGUUAGUACAAAAUAGCUAUUUGUUACAAAAUCCACAUAAGAUGGUUGUAUUUAUAGAGCUAAGUAAAG